GAGACUGUAGCUCAGUUGGAUAGAGUAAAUGUUUCCUAAACAUUAGGUCAAUGGUUCAAAUCCAUUCAGUCUCG
Molecule: transfer RNA, 74 nt
Organism: Galdieria sulphuraria
Lineage: Eukaryota; Rhodophyta; Bangiophyceae; Galdieriales; Galdieriaceae
Rfam family: tRNA
About the family: Transfer RNA (tRNA) molecules are approximately 80 nucleotides in length. Their secondary structure includes four short double-helical elements and three loops (D, anti-codon, and T loops). Further hydrogen bonds mediate the characteristic L-shaped molecular structure. tRNAs have two regions of fundamental functional importance: the anti-codon, which is responsible for specific mRNA codon recognition, and the 3' end, to which the tRNAs corresponding amino acid is attached (by aminoacyl-tRNA synthetases). tRNAs cope with the degeneracy of the genetic code in two manners: having more than one tRNA (with a specific anti-codon) for a particular amino acid; and 'wobble' base-pairing, i.e. permitting non-standard base-pairing at the 3rd anti-codon position.
Source: Rfam